CUAAUUACUGCUCCUCACCUGUCUGACUCAAAUCCCUCCACUGCUGAGACAGGGACAAGAGAAGUGUGCCAGCUCAGAGGGAAGCAGGAGCAGGAGCACCAGACCAAAAACAGCGAAAAGAUCCUUGACACAUUAAAGCCAAUUGGGUGGCAGCACUGACCUGGACUCUUAGAUCAGUCAUCUGGGACAGCAGGUCAUGGAACACAUCUCUGUCUACAGCAGGCAGCUCAGAGGACAGCACUACCCCCACAUAGUAGCCUGGACCUGGCGCCAUCAUGUCCGGAAACAUAAACACACCAGUGUUACACAGCAACACCGGCGAGUUCAUGGCCAUGAGAGGGUACAGCCAGUCGCACACCUG
Long non-coding RNA from Sphaeramia orbicularis (orbiculate cardinalfish), 361 nucleotides. RefSeq lists it as uncharacterized. The transcript has 2 exons. Lineage: Eukaryota; Metazoa; Chordata; Actinopteri; Kurtiformes; Apogonidae. The record is from RefSeq and is a predicted model, not a curated record.